GUGGGGAAUUUUGCGCAAUGGGCGAAAGCCUGACGCAGCAACGCCGCGUGGAGGAUGAAGGUCUUCGGAUCGUAAACUCCUGUCAGUGGGGACGAAUGCUUCGCAAGAAGUUUGACUGUACCCGCUGAGGAAGCCACGGCUAACUCCGUGCCAGCAGCCGCGGUAAUACGGAGGUGGCAAGCGUUGUUCGGAAUUACUGGGCGUAAAGGGCGCGUAGGCGGUUUUGCAAGUCAGAUGUGAAAGCCCCGGGCUUAACUCGGGAAUUGCAUCUGAAACUGCUUAACUUGAGUCCUGGAUGGGGUAGUGGAAUUCCCAGUGUAGCGGUGAAAUGCGUAGAUAUUGGGAGGAACACCUGCGGCGAAGGCGGCUACCUGGACAGUGACUGACGCUGAGGCGCGAAAGCUAGGGGAGCGAACGGGAUUAGAUACCCUUGUAGUCC
Molecule: ribosomal RNA, 439 nt
Filed under: uncultured bacterium
Lineage: Bacteria
Description: bacterial SSU rRNA
Rfam family: Bacterial small subunit ribosomal RNA
Source: RNAcentral